GACGAACGCUGGCGGCGUGCUUAACACAUGCAAGUGGAGCGACGAACCGGGCUUCGGCCCGGGGCAAAGCCGCGAACGGGUGAGUAACACGUGGGUAACCUGCCCCAAAGACCGGGACAACCCGAGGAAACUCGGGCUAAUACCGGAUGUGUUCACUGUCCACAAGGACAGUGAGGAAAGGAAGCUUCGGCCUCCGCUUUGGGAUGGGCCCGCGGCCCAUUAGCUUGUUGGUGAGGUAACGGCUCACCAAGGCUGCGAUGGGUAGCUGGUCUGAGAGGACGAUCAGCCACACUGGGACUGAGACACGGCCCAGACGCCUACGGGAGGCAGCAGUGGGGAAUCUUGCGCAAUGCGCGACAGCGUGACGCAGCAACGCCGCGUGGGGGAAGAAGGCCUUCGGGUUGUAAACCUCUUUCAGGAGGGGCGAAGCUCCGGCAGCGAAUAGCUGUCCGGAGUGACGGUACCUCCACAAGAAGCCCCGGCUAACUACGUGCCAGCCGCCGCGGUAA
This 509-nucleotide ribosomal RNA is filed under the name uncultured bacterium. RNAcentral's name for it is "partial 16S ribosomal RNA". It matches the Rfam family "Bacterial small subunit ribosomal RNA", at positions 28 to 523 of the family's 1533-position model. The record is from RNAcentral.